UACAGAGACUGCGAACGUUAUUCGGAUUCACUGGGCGUAAAGGGUGCGCAGGCGGCCGUGUGUGUGAGAUGUGAAAGCCCGGGGCUCAACCCCGGUGUUGCGUCUCAAACUACAUGGCUAGAGUAUGGGAGGGGGUAGCGGAAUUCACGGUGUAGCAGUGAAAUGCGUAGAUAUCGUGAGGAACACCAGCGGCGAAGGCGGCUACCUGGACCAUUACUGACGCUCAGGCACGAAAGCGUGGGGAGCAAAAGGG
RNAcentral lists this ribosomal RNA (253 nucleotides) under uncultured bacterium. RNAcentral describes it as "partial 16S ribosomal RNA". It matches the Rfam family "Bacterial small subunit ribosomal RNA", at positions 524 to 776 of the family's 1533-position model. The record is from RNAcentral.